AAAACUUUAAAGCCAUGAUUCAUGGAGAUAAUAAUACUAUUGAUAAUGAAGUAGAAAAUAUAAUUAUCAAUUCAAAAAGUUUCUUCAACCACGAAUCAUUAAUUUUUGCUAUGAAAGGAAUUGACAUACAAAUGGAGAGGAUUCUAGCCAUUUUCAUGACAAUUGAUUUGUUAGCAAUCAGUUUCAAGGAGGAAUUAUAGGAGUGGUGGGAAAGUUUAAUCCACUCAAAUGUCUCAACAUUUCUCGUCAAUAACCUCACAGGCGAUAUUCCAUCAUCAUUUGGAAAUUUGACAAAGCUUGAUCUUUAAACCUCUCCCCAAACAAGCUUGUUAGGCUGAUUCCAAUGUAAUUGGUGAGUUCAAAUACUAUUUUGGUGCUAAAUCUUUCAUACAUUUUCAAAUGAUUCUUGUGCUAGGAACCUGGGGUAGUGUGGAUUCCCAUUGUCAAUUGCUUGCAACGAUGAUGAGGCACCAUAACUGACAGUACCAAAUUCGAGCUGGUUUGAUUGGAAGUUUACCAAGAUGGAUUACACAUCUAGGUUGGGGAUGACUUGUCCAUUGGAUAUAUGGUAUUUAUAAAUGGAAGGCCAAGUUGGUUUGUGUGGAUGAUAAAAAAGAAGUAAUCUAAUAAGGCGAGAAGAGUGAUCAGACAAUGUAGAACAAGAAGAAGAAAUUAGUAAAAUUAGUAAGUUCACAUCUAGCUCAGAUGAGUAAUUAUCAAGUGUUCUUUUGGAUUUGUAAUCUUAUUAUUAUUCUUUCCCUAGAUAACAUCAUAGCAUAUUGAUAUUUUUCAAAAUUUUUAAGGAAAAGAAAUGAUUUGAAAUAGGGUGAGACUAUUUAAACUCACCAUAAUACUCAAUAAACCCAUUUACUAAUCAAGUCAUCGUCUAAAUUUAAAAAUUUAUCUUUCAUUCAAUAAACCCACCUUUAUAACCAUUAUACCCUUAUUUAAAUCUCUUUCUCUUCUCUUUCUUUUUUGCGACUUCUAUAUCUCUACUUCCUCUUAGUAUUCUAUUUUUGUUUUAUAACCAAAUCAUCCACUGUUCUUGUCUUGUUGCAGUGGCUCUUUUUCAUUUUUUUUUCUCCUUGACUGAAACUCUCAAAGUUCUAUCAUGAAACACUAAAAAAAGGAUAAAGUAUAAAGAUCCUUGAUCUCAAUUAAAAGACAAUUUUUUUCACACCAAAUUGCAAGGAAAUAUAAUGUAUGUCAAAGUAAAUAAGUCUUUUAUUCCUUCUCAAAAAAAAAUAAGUCUUUUAUUUAUACGCUAUAGUUUAGUAAUGUUAAAGAGCAACAAUAAUCUUUUAUAUCUAUUGAAAAAUAAAUGCAGAUAUAAAAACUUUAGAGAGAGAAAUUAAAGACGAUUAAGUUACAAUAAUAUUUAGCUAUAAUGAUUAUAAUAAUAAUUUAAUUUAAGGAUAUUUGUGUAAUAAAUUAUCUUUUUAGAAUUGGAUUAAUGAAUAGUUUGGUGAAUUCAAAUAACUCCACUCUUUGAAAUAAUGUUAUAUUCUUGCAAGUCAUGAUGCAUCUGGUGUAGCAUGGGCCGUUUAUUUUGGGUUUGGGUGUAGAUCAAUGAAAGGUUGUGAAUUUUCCCUAUUGAAAUUAACAUAUACUACUUACCUUCUAUGAUUUUUAUAAUAAUCAAUAACUCUUAUGGCAACAUAAUUUUACAGUAUUAUCCUCAUUUUCUAAUACCUUUUUAUUCAUAUUUAUUAUAAAUUAAAUAAAUUAUAUAAAUUAAAAUAAAAAUAAAAAAUUUAAGUAUUGAAAAUAAGCAAUAUAUGUUUUGAUGCGAAUAAAAAAUUAAUAAUAAGAUUUUUUUUGUACUUUUUAUUUUUUUAAACUCUACCCAUUUAAAAUUUUCAGAGAUAUCUCCGAACUCCCCCCAAAUAAGAAUUUUUGGGUAUAAAGGUGGGUUCCGGGAUCAUGAUCCCUGACCUCAAUUUGCCCAUUAUCAUCCCUGCCUAGUAUGAAACAGGACAUGAUUUGUUUCAAAUAAUUCAGCCCUAUACAGUGCCCAUAAACAAAUGCACCUUUGUGCUUAGAAAUACAUACAGAAUGCCAAGAUAAUUAAAUGUUCCUAACCGUCUUUAGGAAAAAAAGAAAAUGUAAUGACUUCGGUAAAGGUAAUAAUACAGACAAUGCUAAGCUUCUUGUAUACGUCUGGCUUUGAACUGGUUUGUGGAAAAACUGUGAAAAGGGAGUGGUUCUACAUUCACCACGAUGCCUUCCUAGGACUCACCAUUCCCCGCCGAACACGUGGCCUAGAUUGCCCUCUUCAUUAAUUGAAUGAAAGGAUCCUACUUUGAACUGUCAACUUUCUUAUCCUGACCAUGUGGCCACGAGAUUCACAUAAUUAAUUAGAUUUUGAAUUUUACAAAUUAGCGACAAAGACACUCACCUAACCGGCCAGAUUCCAUAUAGAGUUCCAAGCUCCGUAACAAGAUCACUUCGUGCUUUAAAAUUAUUACAUAAUUAAUUGGAUUCAAUCCUUUCCAUUCACUGGAUAAAUGGGUUACUUAACACAGCCUUGUCCAGUUUUGAUCUGCCUCCAGUUAUUGCUCUUGUAUUUUCAGUGUUCUGCGAAGCUUUGCUCUCAUGAUCAAAGCUCUGCGUUACUCCAAUUUAAGCAACUCUUUUCUUUUGAACAACAUUCUUCGUCUGACUGUGAUGAAGUAUAUCAACAAUCUCGUCCAAAGAUGAUGUCUUGGAAAGAGGAUGCUGAUUGCUGCUCAUGGGAUGGAGUAACAUGUGAUACGGUGGCUGGUCACGUGAUUGGCCUCGACCUUAGCUGUAGUUGGCUUCACGGCAAUAUCCCUUCCAAUAGUAGCCUUUUCUUUCUUCCUCACAUACGAAAGCUCAACUUGGCUUUCAAUGAUUUUAAUUACUCCGAGAUUUCUUCUGGUUUUAGUCAACUUCGGAGCUUGACACUCCUUAACCUCUCUUCCAGCAAUUUCAUGGGGUCAAUUCCUGCAUCAAUAGGUAAUAUCACCCAACUUUCUUAUUUGGAUCUUUCAUAUAAUAAUUUUAAUGGUCACAUACCAUCUUCCUUUUCAAAUCUUGAGCAGCUUCAUUAUUUAAUUCUGAGGAGCAAUUUUUUCGUUGGUAAAAUUCCUGAUAUUUUUACCAAUCUAACCCAACUUUCUUACUUAGAUUUCAGUAGUAACCAACUUUCUGGCUCAAUUCCGAGCUCAGUCUAUGAGCUUGAGAAUUUGAUUCUUCUCAGACUUUCUUCAAACAGAUUAAGCGGCACCGCUGAGCUGUACGAUUUUGCAAAGCUCAAAAAUCUUAAAUGGCUAUUUGUUUCUAAUAAUAGAUUAUCAUUGAGCACCAAAUUAAAAGUCAACUCUUCCUUUCCCAAUCUUUUUGGGUUGGGUUUAUCUGCUUGCAAUGUAAGUGAAUUUCCGGACAUCUUAAGAACCCUGCAUCAAUUGCAGUGGUUGAACCUUUCUAAAAACCGAAUUCAUGGUAGGAUUCCUAGUUGGAUGUGGGACUUAGGAAUAGCUACUUUGUAUUACCUAGAUCUUUCCAACAACUUCCUGACAAACAUUGAAUAUUUUCCACCGACAAAUAUGACCCAACUUAACUUUGAUUCGAACCUAACCCACAAGGUCUUGGAUAUGAGAAUGAACAACUUCAAUGGAAAAAUCCCUCGAAAGUUUGUAAAAAGUUGUAAUUUGACGAGUCUUAACCUUAAUGGAAAUCGGCUGGAAGGACCACUGCCACCAUCUUUGGUGAAUUGUCAUCACUUGGAAGUUUUAAAUGUUGGGAAUAAUCAAAUCAAUGAUAACUUCCCCAAUUGGUUAGAAAUUCUUCCAGAAUUGCAAGUUCUUAUCUUGCGUUCCAAUAGAUUUUGGGGUCCCAUUGGUGAGAACACAACAAUAGUUCCAUUCCCUAGCUUAAGAAUAAUUGAUUUGUCUCACAAUGAAUUCACCGGAGUUUUGCUAACAGGAUAUCUUGAUAAUUUUAAAGCCAUGAUGCAUGGGAAUAAUAUUAGUGUUGAAGUGGAUUAUAUGACACCUUUGAAUUCUUCUAAUUACUAUGAAUCAAUAAUUUUGACUAUCAAAGGCAUUGACAUCAAAAUGGAGAGAAUUCUAACCAUUUUUAUGACAAUUGAUUUGUCGAGUAAUAAAUUUCAAGGAGGAAUUCCAGAAGUGGUGGGAAAGCUCAAUUUACUCAAAGGUCUCAACAUUUCUCACAACAACCUGACAGGUGAUAUUCCAUCAUCGUUGAGAAAUUUGACCGAGGUCGAAUCUCUAGACUUGUCUUCAAACAUGCUUGUUGGGCAUAUUCCAACGCAAUUGACGAGCCUGAAAUAUCUUUCAGUGCUAAAUCUUUCGUACAACCAGUUUGAGGGACCUAUACCUCGAGGAUCCCAAUUCAAUACAUUUCCAAAUGAUUCAUAUGUUGGUAACUCAGGGUUGUGUGGAUUCCCAUUGUUAGAAAGCUGCAACAUUGAUGAGGCGCCAGAACCAGUAGGGUCAACAAGAUUUGAUGAAGAAGAAGAUGCCUCAAGUUGGUUUGAUUGGAAGUUUGCUAAGAUGGGUUAUGGAUCUGGAUUGGUGAUUGGCUUGUCCGUCGGAUACAUGGUAUUUGGGACUGGAAAGCCACGAUGGCUUGUAAGGAUGAUUGAAAAGUAUCAAUCUAACAAGGUCAGGAUAAGAGUGAGCAGUCUUGGUAUCGCAAGAAGAAAUUAGUAAGUGCAUCACUUUCUCAUAUUAGUUUAAGUAGGUUACAUGCUGAUAUUUUCCAUCAUCUCAACUAAUAUUUUAACCAUAUAUUAAUAAUCUGAUGUGUUUUUUGUUCAGGAAUUUUACACUCAUGGAAUGGAAUUAAGCUGUCGAAGUCAAAUAAUCACCCUCCAGGUACAGAAAUUAAUUUUCUCGCUUUUAUUUCCAAUUCCUAAUAAUAUACUAAGACUUAAUCUUUUGUUGGAAAGCUUGAUCAAAAUUCUGAGGGAAAAAAUCAUUUGAUUAAAUAAUGUUGCUGUAAGAAAUGGGGUUGGGGCAGCUUGAUUUGGUGUAUCUUGCCUUCGGUAGGCAUGUUUGAUUAUCUGCCAGCAUUUAGAAGAUUUUGAUAUUGGGAAUAAUCAAAUUAAUAAUAACUUUUCCCACUGGUUAGAUGUUCUUCCUAAAUUGCAAGUUCUUAUAUUAUGAUCUAACUGAAUUUGGGGUCCCAUUAGUGAUACCAAAAUAAGAGUUCUCUUCCUAAGUAUUGAAUAAUUGAUCUCUUUAACAAUGAACUCACUGAUGUUUUACCAACAUGGUUUCUGGAAAGCUUUAAAGCCAUGAUUCAUGGAGAUAAUAAUACUAUUGAUAAUGAAGUAGAAAAUAUAAUUAUCAAUUCAAAAAGUUUCUUCAACCACGAAUCAUUAAUUUUUGCUAUGAAAGGAAUUGACAUACAAAUGGAGAGGAUUCUAGCCAUUUUCAUGACAAUUGAUUUGUUAGCAAUCAGUUUCAAGGAGGAAUUAUAGGAGUGGUGGGAAUGUUUAAUCCACUCAAAUGUCUCAACAUUUCUCGUCAAUAACCUCACAGGCGAUAUUCCAUCAUCAUUUGGAAAUUUGACAAAGCUUGAUCUUUAAACCUCUCCCCAAACAAGCUUGUUAGGCUGAUUCCAAUGUAAUUGGUGAGUUCAAAUACUAUUUUGGUGCUAAAUCUUUCAUACAUUUUUAAAUGAUUCUUGUGCUAGGAACCUGGGGUAGUGUGGAUUCCCAUUGUCAAUUGCUUGCAACGAUGAUGAGGCACCAUAACUGACAGUACCAAAUUCGAGCUGGUUUGAUUGGAAGUUUAC
Molecule: long non-coding RNA, 5787 nt
Filed under: Citrus sinensis (sweet orange)
Lineage: Eukaryota; Viridiplantae; Streptophyta; Magnoliopsida; Sapindales; Rutaceae
Description: long non-coding RNA (CSIN_LNC000981)
Source: RNAcentral